GAUGAACGCUGGCGGCGUGCCUAAUACAUGCAAGUCGAGCGAACGGACGAGAAGCUUGCUUUUCUGAUGGUAGCGGCGGACGGGUGAGUAACACGUGGAUAACCUACCUAUAAGACUGGGAUAACUUCGGGAAGCCGGAGCUAAUACCGGAUAAUAUUUUGAACCGCAUGGUGCAAAAGUGAAAGACGGUCUUGCUGUCACUUAUAGAUGGAUCCGCGCUGCAUUAGCUAGUUGGUAAGGUAACGGCUUACCAAGGCAACGAGGCAUAGCCGACCUGAGAGGGUGAUAGGCCACACGGGAACUGAGACACGGUCCAGACUCCUACGGGAGGCAGCAGUAGGGAAUCUUACGCAAUGGGCGAAAGCCCGACAGAGCAAAGCCGCGUGAGUGAUGAAGGUCUCCGGAUCGUAAAACUCUGUUAUUAGGGAAGAACAUAUGUGUAAGUAACUGUGCACAUCUUGACGGUACCUAAUCAGAAAGCAACGGCUAACUACGUG
This 497-nucleotide ribosomal RNA is filed under the name uncultured bacterium. RNAcentral describes it as "partial 16S ribosomal RNA". It matches the Rfam family "Bacterial small subunit ribosomal RNA", at positions 28 to 507 of the family's 1533-position model. The record is from RNAcentral.